UGACGUUUAGAACUUUUAUGCGUGUUCGGAAUUCUAAUUACCGCCUUGCAUUGAAUUCAUGAUCAAAGGACAAAUUUUCUCUUACAACGAUCUCGAUUAAAAAAGGAGCUUUAAAUUAGAGCAAAUUUCUCCUAAGAUCAUUCAUUCCAUGCAAGGUGAUAAUUAGAAUCACUAACACGCAUAAAAGUUCCAAAACCACCUACCAAAAAGAAACUUUCUUGCCAAAUCCUCAAUCUCUCAACCAACUAUGAAUAACCCAAAUCCCAGAAUCUCACCAGGGCAAGCUCCCAAUCCCGACCCCUCAACACCAGCAUCAAUAUCAGUAGGGCCUUUACUUACUAUAGAUUUCCCCCAAUCCUACUGAGGAAGAGCUGAGGCACACACAAUAUCAGCGUGGAAAUUGGGAAAGAGACAACGUUAUGGUCAAAGCCUUUAGAAUAUUCUUCUUUCUGUUUAUAUUUUUCUGCUUAUGUGGUUUGAGAGGAACAAUGGAAGAUAAAAUGGAUGCUAAAGCUUAAGGAGUUCAGUCGCCACUAUUUCUUCCAAAUUAAGGUGUUACGGUCGGAUAUCACUGGACACGGGCUAUGAUGUAUGCUAUUACAAUGGGUUGCUGCACUUGGCUUCGACGCCAACUCUUCACAGUGUGCGACUUACUCGACCAUGAGCCAAAUACUUUAGAAAUGCGGUGUUGGAUUCCAACGUUCAUAUAUCACAAGAAUGAAGUGGGGGUUAAGGGAGAGGAAGAGGAAGCUGCACUAGAGUGCAUGAUUUGUCUGUCACCAUUUGAUGAAGGAGAGGAGAUUAAUUAGGCAAUUGCCAUCAUGCAAACACUUGUUUCAUGCAACUUGUUUUGACUUGUGGCUCAACUCACAUAGCAACUGUCCAAUUUGUUGUAGCAUUUUAUCACUAACUCUCAAAUAAGAAGAGUAUAUUUUCUUAUUUUAUUUACAUGUAUUAUUAAACUUGUCAUAACAUUCAUAGAGUUUUUCUUAUAA
Long non-coding RNA from Dendrobium catenatum, 995 nucleotides. RefSeq lists it as uncharacterized. NCBI's taxonomy places the organism in Eukaryota, Viridiplantae, Streptophyta, Magnoliopsida, Asparagales, Orchidaceae. The transcript is spliced from 2 exons. The record is from RefSeq and is a predicted model, not a curated record.